This 492-nucleotide ribosomal RNA is filed under the name uncultured bacterium. RNAcentral's name for it is "partial 16S ribosomal RNA". It matches the Rfam family "Bacterial small subunit ribosomal RNA", at positions 29 to 507 of the family's 1533-position model. The record is from RNAcentral.
AGUGAACGCUGGCGGUAGGCCUAACACAUGCAAGUCGAACGGCAGCACAGUAAGAGCUUGCUCUUACGGGUGGCGAGUGGCGGACGGGUGAGGAAUACAUCGGAAUCUACUUUUUCGUGGGGGAUAACGUAGGGAAACUUACGCUGAUACCGCAUACGACCUACGGGUGAAAGCAGGGGAUCUUCGGACCUUGCGCGAUUGAAUGAGCCGAUGCCGGAUUAGCUAGUUGGCGGGGUAAAGGCCCACCAAGGCGACGAUCCGUAGCUGGUCUGAGAGGAUGAUCAGCCACACUGGAACUGAGACACGGUCCAGACUCCUACGGGAGGCAGCAGUGGGGAAUAUUGGACAAUGGGCGCAAGCCUGAUCCAGCCAUACCGCGUGGGUGAAGAAGGCCUUCGGGUUGUAAAGCCCUUUUGUUGGGAAAGAAAAGCAGCAGGUUAAUACCCCGCUGUUCUGACGGUACCCAAAGAAUAAGCACCGGCUAACUUCGUG